Long non-coding RNA from Nothoprocta perdicaria, 971 nucleotides. RefSeq lists it as uncharacterized. NCBI's taxonomy places the organism in Eukaryota, Metazoa, Chordata, Aves, Tinamiformes, Tinamidae. The record is from RefSeq and is a predicted model, not a curated record. The transcript has 3 exons.
CCCAGGAACUCCAUGUGCUCCUCCCAUCAGGACCACAGCAUUUGGAGCCUUUGUAACAAGGUGACCAAGACUGAGGACACUAUCUUCCUUGUGAAUCACAUACAAGUCAGCAAAGGACAGAGCAAUGAACUGAUCUAGUCAGCUCUUUUGCACCUUGAUUGGCUGAUGAAAAUAACUUAUAGAAGAACAGAUCAUUUGGACCACAGAAUUACCCAAUCCAAGGCUACAUCCUCUCCACCAUAUUCAUGGAUACGGGCCCUGGUAUUUGCCCAAAUCUCAAGGGAGAAGCAAACAGCAGCCAAUUGUUAUUGAUCCUUAAGUGACAUAUUUCAYGGGAUAACAGUUGGGACAUGCUCCCUCAUUCCUGCCUAGGGCCUGCCCUGUUUGCUCCUAAGCGGUACCUGGAGCCAGAAGGCAGCACAUUCCAGAACAGGAACUCUGCACACAGCCACUGCCAUGGAAACCAGCUUCCCCAGUAACGCCAUCCUGUUGUCAUCUGCUUUGUUUCCUUGAGGACUGAAGAGAGAUGAGAAAAUGAUCUGCCGGACUGAAUCCUUGGUUUGUUCUUGGAAAUAAUUGCACAUGAUCUCAAGGAGUUGAAGUUCCUGAAGUGAAUUUAAUCUCUGAAAGAAAAGAGAAACAAAGCUGCAAAAUACCCUGGAGCUCUUGAAGACCAAGGGAUUGCUUUUGUGAAAGGCAAGUACAGCAAAGGCUGAGAGGUUCCCCAAAGCCUCAGAAACCCCGUCUACCUCUCCACAAUCUCUGUGCCUCUGUAGGGCAGUGUGCACAUAUGUAAGCUUCCUGAAGAACCACUGCAUUCACCUAGUUAUAUAAAAAAAGCCAUAGACAUUKGUGUAUACCAUAUGUAUAGCCUGCUAUACCAGACUAAUGGGAGCUGCACAACCAAGCACUGACUGUAAACUGAAAAAUAAGGUCUAUAACAAGUGUGGGGUAAAAAAGGAACGUUUUUU